CAUUGGCCCCAGCUUUUCAUGCACUGUUCUGGCCAAACUGCAAGUUUUUAAAAAUCCUUUAGAUCUGUUUUCUGCUCCUAAUUGUCACAGUAAACCUUACUAAAAGCUGCCAGCAAUAUCCAUACCACUGACCAAAGGCUGUGCCGCCCUGAAAUAUCCCCCACCAGAUUUAUUAGUCCACUACCUUUAAAUUCAGUCCCACAGUCUCAGGACAUGGGUGAAAUAUAACCAAGUUCUUUACCAGAAUAUAACAUGAGUUCAAUUCCUGGUAGCAACCAUUUCCCUUUGAAACCUCAUGAGCACAGUCCACAUUCCUAUGAGUAUCCUGGUUCUCGAGCUCCCACCAGAAUCAUCUAUUAUACUCUGCUUACAAUAUUCUAAAGCUUUUCCCAGUCUGUGUCUCUAACCUUUUCAGAAUUCUUCCUGCAAACCAGUUCCAAAAGUUCCUGGACCACAUGGUCAGGUUAAUCACAGCAAUGACCCCACUCCUGGGACCAAUUUCUGCUUUAGUUAGCUUUUGCAUCACUGUGAACAAAACACCUGAAAAGAAUAACUUAGAGGAG
This 563-nucleotide long non-coding RNA is filed under the name Marmota monax (woodchuck). The record is from RNAcentral. Lineage: Eukaryota; Metazoa; Chordata; Mammalia; Rodentia; Sciuridae.